UACGUAGGGUGCAAGCGUUGUCCGGAAUUAUUGGGCGUAAAGGGCUCGUAGGCGGUUUGUCGCGUCGGGAGUGAAAUCCACUGGCUUAACUGGUGGCUUGCUUUCGAUACGGGCAGACUGGAGGUAUGCAGGGGAGAACGGAAUUCCUGGUGUAGCGGUGAAAUGCGCAGAUAUCAGGAGGAACACCGGUGGCGAAGGCGGUUCUCUGGGCAUGUCCUGACGCUGAGGAGCGAAAGCGUGGGGAGCAAACAGG
RNAcentral lists this ribosomal RNA (253 nucleotides) under uncultured bacterium. RNAcentral's name for it is "partial 16S ribosomal RNA". It matches the Rfam family "Bacterial small subunit ribosomal RNA", at positions 524 to 776 of the family's 1533-position model. The record is from RNAcentral.